This 885-nucleotide ribosomal RNA is filed under the name Lactobacillus delbrueckii subsp. bulgaricus. RNAcentral describes it as "bacterial SSU rRNA". It matches the Rfam family "Bacterial small subunit ribosomal RNA", at positions 658 to 1533 of the family's 1533-position model. Lineage: Bacteria; Bacillati; Bacillota; Bacilli; Lactobacillales; Lactobacillaceae. The record is from RNAcentral.
AGAGUGGAAUUCCAUGUGUAGCGGUGGAAUGCGUAGAUAUAUGGAAGAACACCAGUGGCGAAGGCGGCUCUCUGGUCUGCAACUGACGCUGAGGCUCGAAAGCAUGGGUAGCGAACAGGAUUAGAUACCCUGGUAGUCCAUGCCGUAAACGAUGAGCGCUAGGUGUUGGGGACUUUCCGGUCCUCAGUGCCGCAGCAAACGCAUUAAGCGCUCCGCCUGGGGAGUACGACCGCAAGGUUGAAACUCAAAGGAAUUGACGGGGGCCCGCACAAGCGGUGGAGCAUGUGGUUUAAUUCGAAGCAACGCGAAGAACCUUACCAGGUCUUGACAUCCUGUGCUACACCUAGAGAUAGGUGGUUCCCUUCGGGGACGCAGAGACAGGUGGUGCAUGGCUGUCGUCAGCUCGUGUCGUGAGAUGUUGGGUUAAGUCCCGCAACGAGCGCAACCCUUGUCUUUAGUUGCCAUCAUUAAGUUGGGCACUCUAAAGAGACUGCCGGUGACAAACCGGAGGAAGGUGGGGAUGACGUCAAGUCAUCAUGCCCCUUAUGACCUGGGCUACACACGUGCUACAAUGGGCAGUACAACGAGAAGCGAACCCGCGAGGGUAAGCGGAUCUCUUAAAGCUGUUCUCAGUUCGGACUGCAGGCUGCAACUCGCCUGCACGAAGCUGGAAUCGCUAGUAAUCGCGGAUCAGCACGCCGCGGUGAAUACGUUCCCGGGCCUUGUACACACCGCCCGUCACACCAUGGAAGUCUGCAAUGCCCAAAGUCGGUGGGAUAACCUUUAUAGGAGUCAGCCGCCUAAGGCAGGGCAGAUGACUGGGGUGAAGUCGUAACAAGGUAGCCGUAGGAGAACCUGCGGCUGGAUCACCUCCUUUCUAAGGAA